UCCCGUUGAUGAAACAUUUAGUAAUCUGAAAUUUUGCAUAAUUGGGGCUCCCUCUUGCCAUCUUUGUCGUAGGAGGUUGAGGAACCAUUAUUUUUUAUGCCAGGUAGAAAAUAGGCAUUUCUGAGGGAU
Molecule: small nucleolar RNA, 129 nt
Filed under: Olea europaea subsp. europaea
Lineage: Eukaryota; Viridiplantae; Streptophyta; Magnoliopsida; Lamiales; Oleaceae
Description: small nucleolar RNA snoR130
Rfam family: small nucleolar RNA snoR130
Source: Rfam by way of RNAcentral